GUUCCGGGAAGAGUUUUCUUUUCUUUGUAAGGGCGGUUACCACCCCUGGAAUCGGGUUGUCCGGAGGUAGGGGUGUCACCUCCGUAAAGCACCACCCCUCUUGUGGUGUCCUGUUAGCUCUUGUGGGCCCUCGAAAAUCCGAGGGAGGCGAGGUUACUUUCGUGGCAGGCCGUACCCAUAUCCGCAUCAGGUCUCCGAGGUGAAGAGCCUCUGGCACUAGAAUAAUGUAGGUAAGGGAAGUCGGCAAAUUGGAUCCGUAACGUCGGGAAGAGGAUUGGCUCUGAGGGCUGAGUCAGGCAGGUUGGAGAAAGAAACGGGCUCGCUCAGCUUGCGGCUGGCCAGUGGGCUGGUCGGUUGGUCGGUCGGUCGGUCAGUGGGUCGGUCGGGUUGCUAGCCAGUCGAUUGUGCGCGCGUUGCGUGCGGUUGGCUGGUUGGUUGGCCGGCCGGCUGGCUGACUGACUGGCCGGGCCUGGUGGCUGGAGGUGAGCCGAGUGGAUCGUGGGCGGAUCCAGCUACACGUGCGCCUCGGUGGGUUGGCGAGCAGGUGGGUGGAUGUUCAGUUGGUUGGUUGGCUGGUUGGCUGCCUGCUGACUGGCCGCCCUGCUUGCCUACCAGCUUGUCCAUUCGCCCGCCCUGCCUUGUGCUUCUAUCGUCGAGGAGUGCUUGUCUGGCGCCAAAUAGCCAACUCAGAACUGGCACGGACCUGGGGAAUCCGACUGUCCAAUUAAAACAAAGCAUUGCGAUG
Molecule: non-coding RNA, 745 nt
Filed under: Taenia asiatica
Lineage: Eukaryota; Metazoa; Platyhelminthes; Cestoda; Cyclophyllidea; Taeniidae
Description: Eukaryotic large subunit ribosomal RNA
Rfam family: Eukaryotic large subunit ribosomal RNA
Source: Rfam by way of RNAcentral